UGGUUCUGGCAUCGAUGAAGAACGCAGCGAAAUGCGAUAAGUAAUGUGAAUUGCAGAAUUCAGUGAAUCAUCGAAUCUUUGAACGCACAUUGCGCCCCUCGGUAUUCCGGGGGGCAUACCUGUUCGAGCGUCAUUACACCUCUCAAGCGUAGCUUGGUAUUGGGCCUCGCUCCCUCAAAAGGGCGUGCCUGAAAAGUAGUGGCGGUCCGGCGUGGCCUUGAACGUAGUAAAUUUACCCCCGUUCUGAAGGUCCGCGUCGCGGCUUGCCAGAAUUCCUCAUUUCUCAAGAAUUGACCUCGGAUCAGGUAGGGAUACCCGCUGA
This 322-nucleotide unclassified non-coding RNA is filed under the name uncultured fungus. Its description in RNAcentral is "partial contains 5.8S ribosomal RNA and internal transcribed spacer 2". The stretch from base 1 to 133 matches the Rfam family "5.8S ribosomal RNA", at positions 22 to 154 of the family's 154-position model. The record is from RNAcentral. Lineage: Eukaryota; Fungi.